GGACCCGUAAGCGCUGCUUAGACAGACUUGUCUCUCAAAAUGCCAAAGUAGCAAGUACCACAGGUGCCACCGGGGAGCGAAUGAGGAAGGCAGGGCCUCAGAGCCAACCGCAUUGAAAGAAAAUCUGGGAGUAGAUGGCCACAGUGCCCUGUGACAACUGAGACUCCAGAGGACAGGGACGGGCCAGGCAGAACCAGCCAUGAAGCUCAUUACCAAGGCUGCUAGGCCUUUGACCUCAUCCGUGUACCUGGGAGGCCUCUUCUUCUUGUGGCCUGGAAGUGACCUUAGACAGCCACCUUAGAGCCCAGCCUGGCCUUACCAGACCCUGGAGAUCCCAGAAGUCACUGUGCUAAGGCCUGGCCAAUCCCAGCUCUAACCACAAGAGGUCCCACAGGGGCCCCCUCUCCCCCUGACCUCAGGACUUCUGCUUUCUUGGGGACAAAGCAAGCACAAGGGAACUUGUGGCCGAGGAAUCUCCACCGCGGCAAGACCUGUAAGGAUCCAGCUUUGCAGCUGAAGGGUCCUGGUGAGAAGCAAAACUGAAGGUCUCUGUUCAAGAGAAGUGACAAUAUUCAAGUCAGGCCAGAAGCUCCGAGUCUCUUCAGAGGACAGGAACUCCCCCAACACAGGCCUGCCCCUUCAGAAUCUAAAGAGCCCUGCAGAUGUCUUUACCAGCAGCCUGGCCCUCAGCUCAUCCUUCCCUGGGUCAAAGUGUAACUCGAUUUAGAGGUCAGAGUGGCCCGCAGCAGUAUGGAAGGAGAGAGAGAGGGGGAGAGGGGAGGGGCUCUGGGGACAGUCAAGUUAUCAUCAGUCAGCUACUGGAGAUAAAGCAGUCAUUAGCCAGCAGCCAGAUGCUGACUGUGAGACUCUACAGCACUGCUCUGGUCCCCAUGGCCUGGGGAGAGAGUGGCCUACAGUCAGGGAGUCACUUGGACUGUCAGUGAACUGUCUGCGUUCUUCACUCAACUGUACCGCAGGGUGAAGCCGAGAACUGGGCAACACUGGAAGUUUAGGAGUGGCCCUAGGAUCACCCUGGGAUUGAGUCCCUCAGAACAGAGCAACAGGGGUCUGUCACUGGAGAGGGCAGGAGAUGGGUUGGCAAGGAGACAAGGGAACAGGAAGCUAGAGCCAAACUUCUCGCCUCACGCCUGAACUUCCUGAGGUGGCUUAUUUGCAUGACGCCCAGACAGAUGGGCCACUGGUCACCUGCAUUCCAGAUCAUGCAAAACUCCAACAGUCGCUGUGGCCAGUCAGGAGCGGUCUCCACACUGCUCCCCCUGAGCUAACCCCUAGGCUUGGUCUGUGACAUGCUACAUGUGUGCCCGUAGAUACAUAGAAGGGGUCAGACAGGAACCUUCUCCCUGAGCUCGGUCAGCAGUUAAAAGGUAACAGCCACAAGCACAGGUCACUCAGGUCCCUGGAGGGCUUUGGGUAGAGUUCUGCUUACGACCUGGGUGGGAUGCAGCCCUAGUGGCUGGUGGGGAGAUGGGGCACAGACCCCAAAGAGGUGCCUGAGUCACAUGGACCCAGCAAGAGAGCACACGGCACAACUGCACAGACUCACUCGAUGUUCUACAUCAAAGGACCUUCAGUUUCUUAAAGGGAAAAUGAGGCUUGGCCCUGACUGCAGGCCUCGGGAGGUGGUGCGCGACCUAAGCCUGAAGCAACCGCCUCUGCUCAAUGCUCUUUGUCUAUCCAGAAUAAAUAAAUAAAUCUUAUUGCUAGUU
Mus musculus (house mouse) is the source of this 1727-nucleotide long non-coding RNA. RefSeq annotates it as predicted gene, 36462. The transcript is spliced from 2 exons. Lineage: Eukaryota; Metazoa; Chordata; Mammalia; Rodentia; Muridae. The record is from RefSeq and is a predicted model, not a curated record.